RNAcentral lists this transfer RNA (61 nucleotides) under Watasenia scintillans (sparkling enope). RNAcentral's name for it is "tRNA-Glu". Lineage: Eukaryota; Metazoa; Mollusca; Cephalopoda; Oegopsida; Enoploteuthidae. The record is from RNAcentral.
UCUUAUAGUGUACUAAAGCACGUGAGAUUUUCAAUCUUUCAGGGCAUUAAAAUUAUAAGAU